Molecule: long non-coding RNA, 2666 nt
Organism: Dreissena polymorpha
Lineage: Eukaryota; Metazoa; Mollusca; Bivalvia; Myida; Dreissenidae
Exons: 3
Source: RefSeq, a predicted model, not a curated record
AAUAGAAAUUACAACCCGGGUGUACAUUGUCCAGGGUAAUCAUGGAACUUAGGCUGGAAAUCCAUGGUAUAACAUGGAAUUCCAUGGAAAUCCCUGGAAUUUGAAACAGUUUCCAGGGUUUUCCAGGGUUUUGUUCUAGAAAUGUCCAUGAAACGUGGACUUUUUUUCCAAGCAUUUUCCAGCCUUGGAUGGAAAAGCAUGGAAAAGGAAUGGAAAACGCUGGAUUUAGGCUGGAUAACCAUGGAAAAUAUUUCCAGAUAGCAUGGAAAGUGGAACAUAGAAUUUUUUAAGCAUGGAAAAGACUCUAACAUUUUCAGCUGACCCUGGAAAAAACUUAGACUUUAUAAGAGGAGAAAAUAACUUAUAAAAAUGCAACACAUUUUAUUCAAAGUAAAUCAGAGUUCAGCAAUUUACACAACAUAUGAAUAAAACAUAAAACAAUGUGCAUAGUUUGGGCAGAAAUAGUAGUAGUUAUAGUAGUAGUAGUAGUGGUAGAAGUAGUAAUGCUGAGGCUGGCAGUAGAAUAUGUUGUAGGAGUAGUAGUAAAAGUGGUUGUUGUAUAAGUUGUAUAAGCAGUUAAACUACUGAUAAUUAUACUAUUGGUGCAAAUUUAAGUGACAGUAGCAGUAGUAGCAGUUAUGAUUGUGUUGUUGUUUUAGCAUUUACAGGAAUAGUAGCAGUAACGGUAGCAAUAGUAGUAUAAAUAAUAAUAACAAUACUAGUAGCAGCAGUAGUAGUAGUAGUUAAGGAAGUAGCAUUAGCAGCAGCAGCAGUAGUAGUAGUAGAAGUAGUAGUAGUAGAAGUAGUAGUAGUAGAAGUAGCAGCAGCAGCAGUAGUAGCAGCAGCAGCAUCAGCAGCAUCAGUAGCAGUAGUAGUAGCAGUAGUAGUAGCAAUAGUAGUUGAAGUACUAGUAGUAGUAGUAGUAGUAGUAGUAGUAGUAGUAGUGGUAGUAGUAGUAGUAGUAACAGCAGCAGCAGCAGCAGUAGUCGCUGCAGCAGGUGUUGUAGUAGUAGUAGCAGCAGCAGCAGCAGCAGUAGCAGUAGUAGUAGUAGCAGCAGCAGCAGGAGUAGUAGCAGCAGCAGCAGUAGCAGCAGCAGUAGCAGUAGUAGUAGUAGUAGUUGAAGCAGUAGUAGUAGUUGAUGCAGUAGUAGUAGUAGUAGCAGUAGUAGCAGCAGUAGUAGUAGUAGUAAUAGUAGUAGUAGUAGAAGUAGUAGUAGUAGUAGUAGUAGUAGUAGUAUAAGUAGAAGUAGCAGUAGUAGUAGUAGUAGUAGUAUUAGAAGUAGUAGUAGUAGUAGUAGUAGUAGUAGUAGUAGUAGUAGUAGUAGUAGUAGUUGUUGUUGUUGUUGUUGUUGUGGCUGUUGUAAUAGUAGUAGUAGUUUUGCAGAAGUAGUAGUAGUAGUAGUAGUACUAGUAGUAGAAGUAAUAGUAGUAACUUUCAAAGCAAUGUCUACAAGUUUAAAUUCUUUAACCCUGUUCAAGGUGUAUACACACUCAAUAUUUAACUACAGUCCAGGUUUGCAAUUAACAAACUAUCUGAUAAACCUGUGUGUGAGUCAGAUAUGUCUGCUGCUAAUCUAUUGGUUAUAAAAUAUCACAGCCUUUUCUGAUUGGCUGAGUUCAAAUACAGAAAGUUUACCUGUUAGAUUGAAAUUCUGGCGUAUUGUAGAAAAUAUGCAGGUUAAACUUGUUGUUAAAAUGAAGUUAAUGUAAUGUUCACAAACAGUAGAGUUAAUGAGUUUUUCCAUUAACAAGAAUUUCUUAAAAUAAUAAUGUAUGGAUAUCAUUUGGAAAGUGACAUGAAAUAUUGUUAAAAAGUGAUGCAUACAAGUGUUUCAGAAGUCUGUCUAGGAAUAGAACAACAACUGAAGCUGACCAGUUGAUGGAAGAUACUGCAGAGUUUGGCAGGGAAAUAACCCAAGACAGCAAAGCGGCUCUUUUGGCGCAUUUACCAAGAGGACUAACAUGGCCAAAAUUCAUGAGAUCAUGCAGGAGCCGUACAGUAUAACAGCAGUACAAGUUCUAUAAAAAAAUCCACGACCUACUGAAGCCCAGCUAAUUAACAAAAAAGUUUUUAAAAACUGUAAUUUUAUCCCACCUGGGUACUUAUUAUUUACUAAGCUGCCUUCACAAGUUUUAGACUUGCAAUUAUAUUUUAAACUGUCACUUGGAAAGUAAUACAUGUACAUGCAUUAUGUUCUGAAUUUCUUUGAACAAUAAAAUUAUAUAAAAGUAUUUUAAUGAAAUUGAGCACCUAAAUUGCAUUAAAGUGAAAGUAGCUGAGAAAAAUAGUAUCCUUGUGCUCAUGGGCAGCUACAUAUAUUGUGACAAACAUGAAGUAGCUAAAAUAACUUAAAUUUUUUAUUUUGUUUCUUGUAUAUCGUUUGUACAGGGUUCGUGAAUUGUUACUGUAUAUUACUUGACUUGCUUGUAUUUUGUUACUUUGAAUACAUGUUGUUAAGGUUGCAUUAUACUUUUUAACUUUUAAAGUAGCGCCUGUUCUGUUAUGUAAGGGCCUGAUUUAUGAUAAUGGACCUAGAGGCUUUGUAAGCAUGUAUUAAACAACACUUGUUUGAUCUGAAUAAUUUGUUAAAUAAAUGUAACACAAUUUGUAAUCUGAUGUUAUAUUUUGAUGAAUUGUGAACAAAAUAAUACAUCGAAGAAACUAA